GAUGAACGCUGGCGGCGUGCCUAAUACAUGCAAGUCGAGCGAACAGACGAGGAGCUUGCUCCUUCGACGUUAGCGGCGGACGGGUGAGUAACACGUAGGUAACCUACCUAUAAGACUGGGAUAACUUCGGGUAACCGGAGCUAAUACCGGAUAAUAUUUCGAACCGCAUGGUUCGAUAGUGAAAGAUGGCUUUGCUAUCACUUAUAGAUGGACCUGCGCCGUAUUAGCUAGUUGGUAAGGUAACGGCUUACCAAGGCAACGAUACGUAGCCGACCUGAGAGGGUGAUCGGCCACACUGGAACUGAGACACGGUCCAGACUCCUACGGGAGGCAGCAGUAGGGAAUCUUCCGCAAUGGGCGAAAGCCUGACGGAGCAACGCCGCGUGAGUGAUGAAGGUCUUCGGAUCGUAAAACUCUGUUAUUAGGGAAGAACAAACGUGUAAGUAACUGUGCACGUCUUGACGGUACCUAAUCAGAAAGCCACGGCUAACUACGUG
RNAcentral lists this ribosomal RNA (497 nucleotides) under uncultured bacterium. Its description in RNAcentral is "partial 16S ribosomal RNA". It matches the Rfam family "Bacterial small subunit ribosomal RNA", at positions 28 to 507 of the family's 1533-position model. The record is from RNAcentral.